RNAcentral lists this ribosomal RNA (253 nucleotides) under uncultured bacterium. RNAcentral's name for it is "partial 16S ribosomal RNA". It matches the Rfam family "Bacterial small subunit ribosomal RNA", at positions 524 to 776 of the family's 1533-position model. The record is from RNAcentral.
UACGUAGGGUGCAAGCGUUAAUCGGAAUUACUGGGCGUAAAGCGUGCGCAGGCGGUUCCGCAAGUCAGAUGUGAAAUCCCCGGGCUCAACCUGGGAACUGCAUUUGAAACUACGGAGCUAGAGUGUGUCAGAGGGGGGUAGAAUUCCACGUGUAGCAGUGAAAUGCGUAGAGAUGUGGAGGAAUACCGAUGGCGAAGGCAGCACUCUGGGACGUGACUGACGCUGAGACGCGAAAGCGUGGGGAGCAAACAGG